GGACUUGACAUCUAACUUUGCCUGUUUUCUCUUUCUAUCUUAUCUUUAUUAAAGGCAAAUGGGAUUUUGAUCGAAUGUGAUACGCUGCCUCCUAGAGAUUUCAACACACUUCUUAUCAAUCAUUAUGAUCACUUGAUGAAGCACACAUCCUAUGACCUAUGCAGAGAACAAACUUUGUGGAAUUCGACUUUUCUCUUCUACCAUGUGGAUUCAAGAGAUCGACCUCAUAUCAUCCAGCUUAACAGCAAGUGUCCUUUUCCUUUUAAUUAGACACUUUAUUCAUUUACAUUCCAAA
This is a long non-coding RNA of Mastomys coucha (southern multimammate mouse), 295 nucleotides long. RefSeq lists it as uncharacterized. Lineage: Eukaryota; Metazoa; Chordata; Mammalia; Rodentia; Muridae. The transcript has 2 exons. The record is from RefSeq and is a predicted model, not a curated record.